UUUGGCACUGGAUCCACCAACACAGGGCACCCCUCCUGGAGCCAGCUCUUGGGGGCAUCUGCCCUGCCUGUGCAUCUGGGGGAUUCAUUCUGGCCAUAGGCAGCCGAGAAGUGGGACCUGUGUGGUGGGUGUCAGGGAUGGGCAGGGACUCUUAUCUGGGCCCAUCCAGCUCCCUGCCUGGCUCUCCCCACUCCUUUGCAGAGCCAUCCCCACUGCUGGGAUGUUUGGGGUGCAGCAGGAAUUGCCAGUCUCUGCAGCUCUCCUCUCCCCGGCUCAGGAAACUUGACUUCAUGCUUGCCUGGAAACCCACCUUCCAGCCCUGCCCUCGCUGAGACCUGUGAGACGGAAGAGGUUCUAGGCCCACCUCAGGGUCUCAGCAGGAAGCCACCAUGUGGUGAGCUGCCCUACUGAGAAGCUCACAUAGCAAGGAGGGCAGCCUCCAGCCUGCAGCCACUGAGAAACUGAGGUCCACAGGGACUGAACCCUGCCAAUAACCUCUUGAUGAGCUUGGAAGUCAAUCCACCCCCAGUUAAGCUUGGAGAUGACUGCAGGCCCAGCCAUCACCUUGACUACAGCCUCACGGCCAACCCAGAAGCAGAGAGCCCGGCUAAGUGAUGGCCAGGUUCCUGACUCACAGA
This 638-nucleotide long non-coding RNA is filed under the name Homo sapiens (human). Its description in RNAcentral is "HSALNT0135428". The record is from RNAcentral. Lineage: Eukaryota; Metazoa; Chordata; Mammalia; Primates; Hominidae.